Molecule: ribosomal RNA, 885 nt
Filed under: uncultured Ascomycota
Lineage: Eukaryota; Fungi; Ascomycota
Description: eukaryotic LSU rRNA
Rfam family: Eukaryotic large subunit ribosomal RNA
Source: RNAcentral
AACUCGAUCUCAAAUCAAGUAAGACUACCCGCUGAACUUAAGCAUAUCAAUAAGCGGAGGAAAAGAAACUAACAAGGAUUCCCCUAGUAACGGCGAGUGAAGCGGGAUGAGCUCAAAUUUAAAAUCUGGCUGGUUUACUAGUCCGAAUUGUAGUUUAUAGAAGCGUUUUCGGUGGCAGCCUGGGUAUAAAUCCUUUGGAAUAGGGUAUCAUAGAGGGUGAGAAUCCCGUCUUUGACUCAGUGCAUGCUACUAUGUGAUACGUUUUCAAAGAGUCGAGUUGUUUGGGAAUGCAGCUCAAAAUGGGUGGUAAAUUUCAUCUAAAGCUAAAUAUUGGCGAGAGACCGAUAGCGAACAAGUACCGUGAGGGAAAGAUGAAAAGAACUUUGAAAAGAGAGUUAAACAGUGCGUGAAAUUGUUGAAAGGGAAACGUUUGACACCAGUUAUGCGGGUGGAAAAUCAGUCUUUUGCAAUGGGGAGUUGUGGGCGUUCAGACCGCAAGGCUGGCGUUUGCUUCAUCUUUGUUGUAAGUGAUGCACUUUUUCAUUUGCAGGUCAACAUCAGUUUGCUUUGCUGGACAAAACCCCAAGGGAAGGUGGCAGCUUAGGCUGUGUUAUAGCCCUGGGGCGAUACAGUGGAGUGGACUGAGGUUUCGCAGUGUGUGCUCUCGGGCAAGGCUGACUGGGUGCUAUGGGAUCGUUCGGCGUACAAUGCAUGCAUUUUGCGUCGUGUCUUUUUCAUACUCGCUCAACUCGGCUCUUCCACACUUAGGAUGUUGACUUAAUGGUUUUAAACGACCCGUCUUGAAACACGGACCAAGGAGUCUAACAUAUAUGCAAGUGUUUGGGUGGCAAACCCAUGCGCGUAAUGAAAGUGAACGUAGGUGCG